CCCAGGCACUCUAAAGCUGAAUAUAUCAUUUGUUUUGUCUAAAUAUGAAUGUGGAUAACGUUGGUGAUAGUAAUACUUGCUGCAGUUACAUUUCUAGUGAGGAAU
Long non-coding RNA from Etheostoma spectabile (orangethroat darter), 105 nucleotides. RefSeq lists it as uncharacterized. The record is from RefSeq and is a predicted model, not a curated record. NCBI's taxonomy places the organism in Eukaryota, Metazoa, Chordata, Actinopteri, Perciformes, Percidae. The transcript has 3 exons.